CCCUUAGAUGUUCUGGGCCGCACGCGCGCUACACUGAUGCAUCCAACGAGUUUCUUCCUGGUCCGAGAGGAAUGGGUAACCUUUUGAAAGUGCAUCGUGAUAGGGAUAGACUAUUGCAAUUAUUGGUCUUCAACGAGGAAUUCCUAGUAGACGUAGUUCAUCAGACUGCAUCGAUUACGUCCCUGCCCUUUGUACACACCGCCCGUCGCUCCUACCGAUUGAAUGCUCAGGUGAGCCAUUCGGACUUUCAUCAUGCUGGUUUCCAGUUUUGAUGAAGGAAAGUCUUGCGAACCUUAUCAUUUAGAGGAAGGAGAAGGCGUAACA
Molecule: ribosomal RNA, 324 nt
Filed under: uncultured eukaryote
Lineage: Eukaryota
Description: partial 18S ribosomal RNA
Rfam family: Eukaryotic small subunit ribosomal RNA
Source: RNAcentral